UGGGGAAUUUUGGACAAUGGGCGAAAGCCUGAUCCAGCAAUGCCGCGUGUGUGAAGAAGGCCUUCGGGUUGUAAAGCACUUUUGUCCGGAAAGAAAUCCUUGGCUCUAAUACAGUCGGGGGAUGACGGUACCGGAAGAAUAAGCACCGGCUAACUACGUGCCAGCAGCCGCGGUAAUACGUAGGGUGCAAGCGUUAAUCGGAAUUACUGGGCGUAAAGCGUGCGCAGGCGGUUUGCUAAGACCGAUGUGAAAUCCCCGGGCUCAACCUGGGAACUGCAUUGGUGACUGGCAGGCUAGAGUAUGGCAGAGGGGGGUAGAAUUCCACGUGUAGCAGUGAAAUGCGUAGAGAUGUGGAGGAAUACCGAUGGCGAAGGCAGCCCCCUGGGCCAAUACUGACGCUCAUGCACGAAAGCGUGGGGAGCAAACAGGAUUAGAUACCCUGGUAGUCCACGCCUAAACGAUGUCAACUAGUUGUUGGGGAUUCAUUUCCUUAGUAACGUAGCUAACGCGUGAAGUUGACCGCCUGGGGAGUACGGUCGCAAGAUUAAAACUUCAAAGGAAUUGACGGGGUCAUAGCUGUUUCCU
Molecule: ribosomal RNA, 585 nt
Filed under: uncultured bacterium
Lineage: Bacteria
Description: partial 16S ribosomal RNA
Rfam family: Bacterial small subunit ribosomal RNA
Source: RNAcentral